Molecule: non-coding RNA, 204 nt
Organism: Pelobates cultripes (western spadefoot toad)
Lineage: Eukaryota; Metazoa; Chordata; Amphibia; Anura; Pelobatidae
Source: the annotation of a GenBank genome assembly
CUUUUGUGGAACACUCCGGCAGACCCGGAUUGAUCCUUUUCCGGUUGGCUGUCAGGGUAGAAGUUCGGUUUGCCUGGACAGUCCAUCCGCGUUUCCAUUGAACUUGCCAGGGCGGUAUUGGAUGGAGAAAUUGUAGGGUUGUAGUGCUAAGCUCCAUCUCAGCAAGCGUCCAUUGUCCCCAGCCACUCGGUUCAACCAUACCAG